RNAcentral lists this ribosomal RNA (466 nucleotides) under uncultured bacterium. Its description in RNAcentral is "bacterial SSU rRNA". It matches the Rfam family "Bacterial small subunit ribosomal RNA", at positions 328 to 792 of the family's 1533-position model. The record is from RNAcentral.
GAGCCAGACUCCUACGGGAGGCAGCAGUGAGGAAUAUUGGUCAAUGGACGCAAGUCUGAACCAGCCAUGCCGCGUGCAGGAUGACGGCUCUAUGAGUUGUAAACUGCUUUUGUACGAGGGUAAACCCCGAUACGUGUAUCGGGUUGAAAGUAUCGUACGAAUAAGGAUCGGCUAACUCCGUGCCAGCAGCCGCGGUAAUACGGAGGAUCCGAGCGUUAUCCGGAUUUAUUGGGUUUAAAGGGUGCGCAGGCGGAGGUGCAAGUCAGUGGUCAAAUUGCGGGGCUCAACCCCGUACUGCCGUUGAAACUGCAUCCCUUGAGUGCGCGAGAGGUAUGCGGAAUGCGUGGUGUAGCGGUGAAAUGCUUAGAUAUCACGAAGAACCCCGAUUGCGAAGGCAGCUUACUAAACUGUGACUGACAUUGAUGCUCGAAAGUGUGGGUAUCAAACAGGAUUAGAUACCCCUGUA